Bactrocera oleae (olive fruit fly) is the source of this 1404-nucleotide non-coding RNA. NCBI's taxonomy places the organism in Eukaryota, Metazoa, Arthropoda, Insecta, Diptera, Tephritidae. The record is from RefSeq and is a predicted model, not a curated record.
GUGAAAAAUGUCAUUUUAAAUUGUCGAAAUUCGGCAAUUUCAAUGCUUUUGAAGUAUCGGUCUUUUCUAAAUUUACGUGUUACACGCGUAAUAACACGUACGUACAUAAUGCGCGAAUUUGUUACGCCUGCAGGCAGCACAGUUUUUGUGCUACAUUUUUUCUCAGCACAAACCUUUUUUCGCACACUUUGUACCAGCACUCGGCGAGGCUAUCGCAUUUUCAUCCAAAGGGUUAACGCGCGCUUCACGCUUUUACAGUUAAUGUCUGUACGUGCCGCAAGUUUGAAGUGCUCUAAUUUCCAGCAAAUGUUCGCGGAUUUUUGGUUGUAAAUAGGUAACACGCGCGUGAAAAUUACAAAAAAAAAUCUGCCGCAAAAGUGAUAAUUUGUAAUUUAUUAUUAUGGCAAAUCAAUGAACUAAAUAUCUAGUGACGACCGGAGGAAGGUAUAUCAAAAUUGUAGAAGGGUUAAUUUUUGUCGUAAGCGUGAUUGUUGCACUUAGUUCCGGUUGAAAGUAUGGCAAAAGUCUGCUUAAUGUGUCGAAAUACAGUUAUUAUCAAGAAAAAACUCGGUGGUUGAGAGAUUUAAAGCUGGUGAAUCGAACAAGCUCGUGUAUUGCUGACUGCUGUUGGAGCUGAAAUAUGUUUUUAAGUGAAUGAAUUGCGGUUAACUGUGGCAAAGUGACACGUGACCAGCUUUGUUGUGUUAGCGGUGCUAUGGAUGAUAAAGGCAAGAGCAACUACAACAAAAUUAUAACAUCAAACAACAACAUGCAUGUGACCAGUAUAUUACAAAGCAAUAAGAGCGUAGCAUAAACGGGAUAUCGGCGACAACAUCGUAAGCUUUGAUGCCGAAAAGGCUGCAGCGAUAAAUCACACCGUCAACUGAGGCACAAGUGAAGCCUCGUUAAGUUGGUGAAGAGAGAGAAUCUUUAAACAUGCCUAGGUCUUUCGGCAAUGAGGGUAGUGGAUCCUUAAAUGUCGAAUUUUAUGGAGAAUUAACUUCGCGACUGAAGCGAAGACCUUUGAAAAUCGCACAAAUGCUCCCAACGAAAGAAAUUCUUUACAACCGGAAAUUAUAGAAAGUUAUUAGCCAUCCCAAGCAAAUUGAAACUCAUUUACUGGUGAAGCAAUAAACUUCAUAUAUUUAAUUUUCUUUGAAGUGUAAGCCAAUAAUCUCACACACUGCCCAGUGUCUUUGUUCAAUUAUCUUAAUAUUUGCUACAAUACACAAUAACAACAAUUACCAUAGCAAACACCUAUCAAUUAUGCACCAAAGCUGCUUUUAAUAUGGUUGUAAAAUGAAUAUUUGGCACAAUAAAAUUUAGACAAUACACCAGAGUACACGAAGGAGCUUUGCGAUAAAGUGCAUACCUACAACUACUAAGCGUCGUUUGGCUAUUAAA